Long non-coding RNA from Formica exsecta, 2522 nucleotides. RefSeq lists it as uncharacterized. Lineage: Eukaryota; Metazoa; Arthropoda; Insecta; Hymenoptera; Formicidae. The record is from RefSeq and is a predicted model, not a curated record. The transcript has 3 exons.
GCAACCGGCCGGCCCGGCUCGGCGCAUUCGUAAACAAACCCUGGUUCAGUUCGGAGCAGCGAACACCCGAAGACCCCUUCACCCUUCACCAUCAGUGUAACACACUUGGGCUUCUUAUUUCAUCGAGACCGCCGGCACGGGAAAAUGUAGGCGAGCGGGCACCAGGUGCGGAGCGCGACAGUUUACCUGCACCCUACGGGGUCGGUGCUUGAACAAUCCGUACGCGACGACAGGCGUGAAUUAGAGUUCGAAAUACCUUUACACUUUGAACAAAUAUGAGGAGAGAACUUCGAGAUACAGUUUAGAGCAGACUCGUAGUUUGAUCCAAAACCGUCGACACCAUCUGCCUCCUCUAAUACCGCAUACUGAGGCACAGCAUUGGAAACAUUGGAAUCAAAAAGCAAAAAAUUCAAACAUGUAACGUAAGCCGCACCAACUAUAACAAAGACGGGAGAGGGAGAAAGAGUGAUAGAAGGGGCUAGUGAGAGAAAGAGAGAAAGAGGCUCUAUUCGUUCGCGGUCGUGUCCGCGGAUGAGAGAGCAGGGCGGAUGUUAACGUGGGUCUUGGCUCGAUUGUACCUUUUUGGGCGCCGUGACAGUUAGUACACCAUCCGAGGAAAGAGUCGAGGUGACAUUGACGAGAUCGUGAGAUGGUGGCAGGACGUAUCUGCGUAUGAAGUGCCUGCUGAUGUAGCCGUGCUCGUCUUGUCUCUCCUCGUGCUUGGCCUCGACAAUAACGUAGUUGUCGACUGUCUUCACCGUGAUCUCGUCCGGUGAGAAUUGUUGCACGUCCAGUAUCACCUGCGGAUCAGAGAGAGAAAGCGCGGCCCCGUGAGGAGGCCCCGGAAAUUAUUAGCUUCAUUCAAGAUCCUCUUUCCAAGAGCGUCAUCGAGGACAGAAAUUUCGCAUUCUUCUGAGAGCAAAGCGCAAACGCACAUCAUCGUUCUGGCCAUGCAUUCGCAGAGCGCAAGUUAAGUAUCAUUUCCCUGAGCGAGUUUACUCCGAGAAUUAUGGUUGUAUUUUGAACAAUAAGAUAAGCAAUUUAAUUUUUUUUUUGUCUCGCAAAUUAGUAUUUGUUUGUUGUGUUUCUCUUUCGAAUUAAAUUCUUCUUCGGAAGAGGAUCUCGAACGCCAUGCGUCCAUAGCGCAUAUAUUAAAACACACAGAGCUACUUUGCGCACAAUCCUUCCGGCAAACUAUUUGAAAUUCGUUUAAUUUGCAUUCGUUCUUCCACAUCUCCCGUUUAGGGAACCGCCGGGGUCGGUUCUGCCGAUCAGACACGGUUGUUGGAGUUUCUGCGACGAGGAAUGAAAAUGAUAAUUCGGCCAAUAUUCUAGACCCGUAGUCUUGACCGUCAAAUAAGCGUGUCGUAAAAGGCAUUUUUUUAUCUUUCAUUUUUCGAUUUUUCGCGACUCUUUCAUAUGUAAUUCCGCCGCGUCUCUUUAGAUCAUCGCGCAUUAAAGCGCGUUAAAUGGUACAAAACCAAAUCGGGAAGAUGUAGUUGCCAGGCGCACCUACUUGUGUGAGAUUGUUCCUUUUUUUUUUUAACGAAAAAAAAAGGAACAAUCAAAAAAAACGAAUUCAAAAAAAACGAGCAUACACACAUACAAGUAGGUGAUUUUUUUGUACUUAUCGCGAGUGCCGCAUCGGUCGUAACGGGAGCGAUCAGUCGCGACCGUGGUGGCCGAUACUUCUCGCGGCUAGCGAUUUGCUUUUUGACGGGAAUGAGAAAAAUUGCGAAAUACAAAAAUUAAAAAAAAACAUAAUACAUCAGAUGGGUAACACUCCGGCAUAGAGAGCAAGGAAGCUUCAACAACCGACGGUAAUAAAAUAGAGACGAAUCGAGUUUCUCCGGGUGAUCCUGCGUGAUCCUGGAACUUGGUGAGCGCGAGCGCGAAGUAAGUUAGUGGAGGAUGAUUGGCUGUGCAUUUCGAAAAUAGUACCAAAAAAAAAAAAAGAAUAGAAGAGGAGAGGAAAAAAAGAAGUUAUACGGAGUAACCGAUCCGUAAACGGUCGACUCGAGUGCUGCGCGCAGAGCGACAUAUUUUGUACAAAUAAAGAGAUAAAAAAAAAGGAUUCCGUGUAAGAGAAAAAAAAAAAACAAAAGGACAAAAGUCAAAUUUUGUACGAUUCUAUCUUGUUGAGGGUAUUCAAAAAAGCAUUUAUUUUUAUAUAGAGAUUAUAGCCAGAAGGACCGGGGCUUGAGGUUCGUUCGCGUGAGCCUGCGCCCCCUUCGAAAGGGGGGCGCGUCGGCUCGUCGGGACGACGCCGCGAGUCUCGGUUUUUUCAUUGAACAAGACUGAUUAAGCGCGACACGAUAAUAUAUAUAACGAUAACAAUCCACUCUUUCGGUUGCAUAUUUUAUUCCGUGGCUGCUGCGCGCGAUUUCUGCGUGCGACUUUGAACAUAGAAUGUAAAAAGUACAGCGGGAAAGAGAAUCAUUUCAGAGCUGCGGCAGGCAAACCGUACGCGCGAUCGCGCGAGGAAAAAAUAUCGCGGAAAGAGCGAAAAUAACAAAAAAAAA